GUCUCCGUGGCGCAAUUGGUUAGCGCGUUCGACUGUUAUCCAUGUUACCCAGUCAGGCUUCCCCUCUCACCAGGGGCCCCGGCUAAGGCGGCACAAAAAAUAUCGAGAGGUUGGCAGUUCAAGCCUGCCCGGGGACG
Puccinia graminis f. sp. tritici is the source of this 137-nucleotide non-coding RNA. Lineage: Eukaryota; Fungi; Basidiomycota; Pucciniomycetes; Pucciniales; Pucciniaceae. The record is from Rfam.